Molecule: RNA transcript, 4660 nt
Organism: Acanthopagrus latus (yellowfin seabream)
Lineage: Eukaryota; Metazoa; Chordata; Actinopteri; Spariformes; Sparidae
Gene name: NACHT, LRR and PYD domains-containing protein 12-like
Exons: 13
Source: RefSeq, a predicted model, not a curated record
CCGCCCCUCCCAGCCACCGGAAGACACGCAGGCAGGUUUCUGACAGAACUUUUCCAGUUUUGUAAGUUUUACUGUUGUGGUUAAAUGGCGCUGCUGAGCCUCACAUGGACCUCUCGGUCCUCUGCUCCUCUCCACCAUCACUGAGCUGACGUGUAAACAUGGCGGGCUGUGGCUGAAGUGCACCCGGACACAGAGCUGACUGACUUCAGAGCAGAAUAUGAGUCUUUGUGAGAAGGAGGAGGAGGACAGAGCAAAGUCUCCAGUAUCCAGCUGUCCGUCUAUGAACAGUGACCGGCCUGAAGAUCCUCCCCCAAACUUCAGUAAUGAACCUGGACCAUCAGACUGUGGACCCUGGUUCUGCAGAUGGUGCAUCACAACAUACUGGGAGCAGUCUGCUUCACCAGGACACUCCUGUCCCCAGUGUGGAGAAAGAUCCAGAACAAGAGCUGGACUGCAGACAGCCAGUCUGACCAGCACUGUACAAAUGAAUGUUGGUCUGCAGGAGGUUUUCCAUGAACAUAUGAUCAGUCUUAGGAGGAGAUAUGAACGUGUGACUGAAGGAAGUGAUGAAACAGGAAGUGAUGAUACUGGAAGUAAAACCCUCCUUAACAAGAUCUACACUGAGCUCUACAUCACAGAGGGACAGAGUGAAGAGGCUGAUACCCAACAUGAGGUGAGGCAGCUUGAGACAGAUUCAGAGAAGAAGAAACUCAGUGAAACCCCAAUCAGGUGCUGCAACAUCUUUAAAGCCUCACCUGACCAAGAGAGACGCAUCAGAGUGGUUCUGACCAACGGCGUCGCUGGAGCUGGAAAAACCUUCUCAGUGCUGAAGUUCACUCUGGACUGGGCAGAGGGCUCCGAAAACCAAGAUGUCAGUCUGCUGGUUCUGCUGUCGUUCAGGGAGCUGAACCUGAUCAGAGAUGAGCAGUACAGUCUUCUCAGGCUGCUCCAUGUUUUCCAUCCAACAUUACAGAAGGUGACAGCAGAGAAGCUCGCUGACUGUAAACUUCUCUUCAUCUUUGACGGCCUGGAUGAAAGCAGACUUUCACUGGAUUUCAACAACCAUGAGGUCGUGUCUGAUGUCACACAGGAGUCAUCAGUCAGCGUGCUGCUGACAAACCUCAUCCAGGGGAAGCUGCUUCCCUCGGCUCUCGUCUGGAUCACUUCCCGACCUGCAGCAGCCAAUCAGAUCCCUCCUUCAUGUGUCGACAGGGUAACAGAAGUGCGAGGCUUCACUGACGUCCAGAAGGAGGAGUACUUCAGGAGGAGGUUCAGGGAUGAAGAUCUGUCCAGCAGAAUCAUCUCACACAUCAAGACCUCCAGGAGCCUCCACAUCAUGUGUCUGAUCCCAGUCUUCUGCUGGAUCACUGCUACAGUUCUGGACCACAUGUUGACUACAGACCAGAGAGGAGAGCUGCCCAAGACCCUGACUGACAUGUACUCACACUUCCUGCUGGUUCAGACAAAGAGGAAGAAGCAGAAGUACGAUGAGGGACGUGAGACGAGUCCACAGGAGCUGACGGAGGCUGACAGGGAAGUUCUUCUGAAGCUGGGGAGGCUGGCGUUUGAACAUCUGGAGACAGGAAACAUCAUGUUCUACCAAGAAGACCUGGAGCGCUGUGGUCUUAAUGUCACAGAGGCCUCGGUGUACUCAGGAGUUUGUACAGAGAUCUUCAGAAGAGAGAGUGUGAUCUUCCAGAAAACAGUCUACUGCUUUGUUCAUCUGAGUGUUCAGGAGUUUCUGGCUGCAGUCUACAUGUUCCACUGUUUCACCAACAGCAACACAGAGGUGGUGAAGGACUUCCUGGGAGGAUCGAGUCCCUCAUCCCUAGAAAAUUUCCUAAGGAGUGCCAUGCAGAAAUCCCUCAAAAGUAAAAAUGGCCUCCUUGACCUGUUUGUUCGCUUCCUUCAUGGCCUCUCUCUGCAGUCCAACCAGGGAGUCUUAGCAGGCCUGCUGGGUCAGACAGACAACAGUCCAGAAAUCAUCCAGAGAGCCAUCAACAACCUGAAGGAGAUGAACAGUGAUGAGAUCUCUCCUGACAGAACCAUCAGCAUCUUCCACUGUCUGACAGAGAUGAAUGACCACUCAGUUCAUCAGGAGAUCCAAAAGUUUCUGAAGUCAGAGAACAGAUCAGAGAAGAAACUCUCUGUGUUCGACUGCUCAGCUCUGGCCUACAUGCUGCAGAUGUCAGAGGAGGUUCUGGAUAAGUUGAACACAAAGAAAUACAACAUAUCCGACCAGGGAAAACAGAGACUAAUUCCAGCUGUGAGGAACUGUAGAAAGGCAAGAUUUAUUGACUGUGGACUCUCAGAGAGUCACUGUGAAGUCUUGGCCUCAGCUCUGAAGUCCAACCCCUCCCAUCUGAGUGAGCUGGAGCUGAUAGACAACGACCUGCAGGAUUCAGGAGUGAAGCUUCUCUGCGCUGGACUGGAGAGUCCAAACUGUCGACUGGAGACUCUGAGAUUGAUCGAAUGCAGUUUGUCAGAGAUCAGCUGUGCUUCUCUGGCCUCAGCUCUGAAGUCCAACUCCUCCCAUCUGACAGAGCUGGAGCUAAGUCAGAACGAGCUGCAGGAUUCAGGAGUGAAGCUUCUCUGUGCUGGACUGGAGAGUCCAAACUGUCGACUGGAGACUCUGAGAUUGUGGAACUGCGGUUUGUCAGAGAGCAGCUGUGCUUCUCUGGCCUCAGCUCUGAAGUCCAACCACUCCAAAUUGAGAGAGCUGCAGCUGACUCACAACGGGCUGCAGGAUUCAGGAGUGAAGCUUCUCUCUGCUGGACUGGAGAGUCCAAACUGUCGACUGAAGAUUCUGAGAUUGUUUUGCUGCAGUUUGUCAGAGAUCAGCUGUGCUUCUCUGGUCUCAGCUCUGAAGUCCAACUCCUGCCACCUGAGAGAGCUGGAGCUGAGUUUUAACUACAAGCUGCAGGAUUCAGGAGUGAAGCUGCUGUGUUCUGGACUCGAGAGUCCAAAUUGUCAACUGGAGACUCUGAGUUUGGAGAACUGCAGUUUGUCAGAGAUCAGCUGUGCUUCUCUGGCCUCAGUUCUGAAGUCCAACCUCUCCCAUCUGAGACAUUUGCACCUGAGUGUCAACAAGCUACAGGAUUCAGGAGUGAAGCUUCUUUCUGCUGGACUGGAGAGUACAAACUGUCGACUAGAGACUCUGAGAUUGGUGGAAUGCAGUUUGUCAGAUAUCAGCUGUGCUUCUCUGGCCUCAGCUCUGAAGUCCAACCCCUCCCAUCUGAGAGAGCUGGACCUGAGUUACAAUGAUCUGCUGGAUUCAGGUGUGAAAUUUCUCUCUGCUGGACUGGAGAGUCCAAAUUGCCGACUGGAGACUCUGGGAUUGUUGAGCUGCAGGUUGUCAGAGAUCAGUUGUGCUUCUCUGGCCUCAGCUCUGAAGUCCAACCCCUCCCACCUCAGAGACCUGGAGCUGAGUCUCAACAAGCUGCUGGAUUCAGGAGUGAAGCUGCUGUGUUCUGGACUGGAGAGUCCAAACUGUCAACUGGAGACUCUGAGAUUGGAGGCCUGCAGUUUGUCAGAGAUCAGCUGUGCUUCUCUGGCCUCAGCUCUUAAGUCCAACCCCUCCCAUCUUAGAAAGCUGGAGCUGAGGGCGAACACCCUGCAGGAUUCAGGAGUGAAGCUGCUGUCUGAACUUGUGGAGAGUCCAAACUGUCGACUGGAGACUCUAAGCUGGUGGUGGUGAUCUCCGUCAGAGUGGUGAGAUAGGUGGAGGUGUUGAGAGGAUCAGCUGUGUCCUGAUGAUCCAGAGAGGCUGAAGCAGCACCAUCAGCUGGAGCAACUGUGGAUGGACAGGAUGUAACCAGCUGACGUCUCUACGAACCACAGAUGGUUGAAGGUUGACAUUUGUACCAGACACGACCUAUCACAUUCACAUUAUGCUUAUCAGCCACCUCUCACAUCAGGAGGUGGAGGGGAAGGAGGAGGCAUUAUAUAAUAAUCCUGAGAGCCAAACGGCCGAUCACACCGCUGGAUAUGUUCAAAGAAGUCUGCAGACAUCUGCAGACGCCCUGUGGUGACCAAAACCAGCAACAUUUCACAGGAAGGCGGAUCAACUCAAAGUGUAAAUCCAAACCAAGAUGUGUUGCUCACCCUCACCUUGACCAUAAUAUCGUGACCAAACGAAGCCGGUCCAACCAAGUAUCACCUGUUUUCAACACUAACAAGGCUACAAGCUGCCAGAUGGCCGACUGCAGUUUAAGUAACGUACAUUUACAUGUCAGAGCAUCUCCAGGCCUCGUUUGUGGCCAUCAAGCAAGUGUUUCUGUGCCUGAAGCUAAGCAGAUACACAACAGCUCUGUGACCAGAGACACAAAAUUCAUCGUCAACAAACUUAAAGUUGCAACAUAAUGACAGAAACACUUUUGCAGAAACGUGCGUGGAGACUGCUGCCACCUGCAGGACGGACUCUUCUUUCUCCCUCGUCAGCAGUGAGCAGCGAAGAAAAGCAACUUUAUCCAUCCGACAGUUUUCCUUUCCGCGAGCCGCACCGACUCAUUUAGAGUGUUUGGUCGUCUCUUGAUUUUCUGUCUCAUCCCGUCUCAUUCUCUUCACUUUUUAUUCUUCCUUCAAUAUUCUUAGUGAUGUUCUGUGAUUGAACACCUCGUUUGUCUCUUACUCGUUCUGUCUAAUAAAAGGAUCUAUUAUC